This 453-nucleotide ribosomal RNA is filed under the name uncultured Porphyromonadaceae bacterium. RNAcentral describes it as "partial 16S ribosomal RNA". It matches the Rfam family "Bacterial small subunit ribosomal RNA", at positions 341 to 792 of the family's 1533-position model. The record is from RNAcentral. Lineage: Bacteria; Pseudomonadati; Bacteroidota; Bacteroidia; Bacteroidales; Porphyromonadaceae.
ACGGAAGGCAGCAGUGAGGAAUAUUGGUCAAUGGGCGGAAGCCUGAACUAGCCAAGUCGCGUGAAGGAUGAAGGUUCUAUGGAUUGUAAACUUCUUUUGUUCGAGGGUAAAGUGAUCUACGUGUAGGUUAUUGCAAGUAUCGAACGAAUAAGCAUCGGCUAACUCCGUGCCAGCAGCCGCGGUAAUACGGAGUAUUCGAGCGUUAUCCGGAUUUAUUGGGUUUAAAGGGUGCGUAGGCGGGAUGUUAAGUCAGCGGUUAAAUAGUGUAGCUCAACUAUACUGUGCCGUUGAAACUGGCGUUCUUGAGUGUAAACGAGGUAGGCGGAAUGUGACGUGUAGCGGUGAAAUGCUUAGAUAUGUCACAGAACCCCGAUUGCGAAGGCAGCUUACUAGGAUACAACUGACGCUGAGGCACGAAAGCGUGGGUAUCAAACAGGAUUAGAUACCCUGGUA